UAUAAUGUAGUGGUUAGUAGUAAUUGCUCUCUCAUGAAAGGUCAUGGGUUUGAUUCCUAGUAUUGUGCACCCGCGUUCGAUUCACGUAAAAGACAAUCUUGAGGCAACCCAAUAUAAUACUCUCUCAUUUCCCUCCCUAUCAAAUGACAAAAAAAAUAAAUAAAAAAGAUCAAGUUGAUAUCAAGUUUAAGCAAGUGCCAUUAACAUUUCUCUCGUAAUUAGCAAAGCUUCGUGUCACAAAAACCAUGAUAUAUACGUUUUGGUCAGUUUAAUUUUGGUUUUUGGCGCAUUGUUGAUAUCGGGAAGCUUGGGAGUUGAAACACAGGUGGGGAAAUGUAUGCAAGUAGACGUGGAAUGGAGGAAAUGCAUGCAAGUCGUGUGUUGUGUUGACGGAUGGUAGGAAGGAAGGACAUUUGGCCAAAUUGAGUUAAUGGUAUGUCAUCGUUGUACAUUAAGUGGGUAGGUUUCAACCAAGACGGGUCAAAGCUGAGCAGAAGCUGACUGGGGAAUAUAUAUCUAUAAUGGGAGGGAUUGGCAUGCAGAAUAUGAUCUGUCUGAUUCUGAUGUGGAGGUAACACCCGAGGAACUAUUUAUUUAGUGGUGAACUUAUCCACUUUGCUACGCACUAGUACACUAUAUUCUUCUAUACUAGUAUUUCUUAUAUUAGAAGAUCAUGAAUUUCUUCAAUACAUAUCACGAGGGGUUCUCCAUGCACACUUGUAUUAUUCAAAUACAUUUUUAGUAUAUACAUGAUACUUAAUUAGCAGGAACUAUGGGAUGAUUAAGAAAAGAUGAACCUAAGUAUCUCCUUUUUUUAAAUUUUAAAAAAAAAAAAUUCAGAAGAGGAGAAAUUCG
This 855-nucleotide long non-coding RNA is filed under the name Prunus persica (peach). RNAcentral describes it as "long non-coding RNA (PPER_LNC003648)". Lineage: Eukaryota; Viridiplantae; Streptophyta; Magnoliopsida; Rosales; Rosaceae. The record is from RNAcentral.